GAAAACCCUAUACAAAUCGUAAGGGUCAAGAAAAAACUGGGAAAAGCUGUCCAAAAGAGGGAAGAGCGUGUUCCACGACGUGCAGAAAGGAUUGUGGAAAGUUGAUUGAUGAGCGCAAGCUGCAUCUGUUCAACAGUUUCUACACUGUCCCAUACGAGAAACAACAAGCACAACCAGCAAAACCAUUCAAGGUGAUGAGGAUGCAAUGUGAAGACUUCAGUCACCUCCCAGAUUCUGUUCUCAAGCGACCAGCUGGACUACAGAUCACUUCAGUGAGGUGGUUAAAAGUCACAUGUAUUGCACAGAGAAUAGUUUACUAACAUCCCAUCAACAUGCAACAUGUUGUUCUAACAAUAAAAUAUCCUAAUGAUU
This is a long non-coding RNA of Salmo salar (Atlantic salmon), 372 nucleotides long. RefSeq lists it as uncharacterized. The record is from RefSeq and is a predicted model, not a curated record. Lineage: Eukaryota; Metazoa; Chordata; Actinopteri; Salmoniformes; Salmonidae.